This is an RNA transcript of Phragmites australis (common reed), 1795 nucleotides long. It is a transcript of the gene named ribonucleoside-diphosphate reductase small chain-like, with no coding region annotated. The record is from RefSeq and is a predicted model, not a curated record. NCBI's taxonomy places the organism in Eukaryota, Viridiplantae, Streptophyta, Magnoliopsida, Poales, Poaceae. The transcript has 2 exons.
CCCCGAAAUUUUGAAAUCACCCGGCAAAAUCGAAAAUUUCCCCCAAUCUUCCCCCGCACGGCGCCCCCCUCGUCGUCUCCAGGCAGGCUCCCACCCUUAUCCGCUCCCGCCUCCUUCCCUCGCAAGCCACCGCCAUUCCCAUUCCAAUUCAAAAUCCCCCCCCCCCCCACCAAUUCCCAUCUCACUUAUAAAUCCCCCCUCUCCCCUGUCCCAUCCAUUCCUCAAACCAAAAUCUCCCAAUUCCCCACUCCCAAAGCCCUCCGGUCCGCCAACCCCACAUCCUAAACCACCGAGGCGGCCAGUAGUCUCGUAGCUCCGACGAUGCCGGCCGCGCCGACGCUGGUGCCCGCGUGCGACGCGGAGGAGCCGCUGCUGGCGGAGUCUUCGGACCGCUUCUCCAUGUUCCCGAUCCGUUUCCCGCAGAUCUGGGAGUUCUACAAGAAGGCCGUGGCCUCCUUCUGGACGGCCGAGGAGGUGGACCUCUCCGCUGACGCGCGCCACUGGGACGAGACCCUCUCCCCCGACGAGCGCCACUUCAUCUCCCAUGUGCUCGCCUUCUUCGCCGCCUCCGACGGCAUAGUGCUCGAGAACCUCUCCUCCCGGUUCAUGUCCGACGUCCAAGUCGCCGAGGCUCGGGCCUUCUACGGCUUCCAGAUCGCCAUCGAGAACAUCCACUCCGAGAUGUACUCGCUGCUGCUCGAGACCUACAUCCGCGAUGGCGCCGAGAAGGACCGCCUAUUCCGCGCCAUCGACACCGUCCCUGCCGUGCGCCGCAAGGCCGACUGGGCCAUGCGCUGGAUCGACGGAGGGGAGCGCUUCGCCGAGCGGCUCGUCGCCUUUGCCUGCGUCGAGGGCAUCUUCUUUUCGGGCUCCUUCUGCGCCAUAUUCUGGCUCAAGAAGCGCGGGCUCAUGCCGGGCCUCACCUUCUCCAACGAGCUCAUCUCCCGCGACGAGGGCCUGCACUGCGAUUUCGCCUGCCUCCUCUACGACCUCCUCCGCAGCAAGCUUGACGAGGCGCGCGUCCGCGAGAUCGUAGCCGACGCUGUCGACAUCGAGCGCGAGUUCGUUUGCGACGCGCUCCCCUGCGCGCUCGUGGGCAUGAACGGCGGCCUCAUGAGCCAGUACAUCGAGUUCGUCGCCGACCGCCUGCUCAUGUCUCUCGGGUGCAAUAGGAUGUACAACGUCGCCAAUCCCUUCGAUUGGAUGGAGCUCAUCUCCCUGCAGGGCAAGACCAACUUCUUCGAGAAGCGCGUCGGCGAGUACCAGAAGGCCUCCGUCAUGAACAGCCUCAACGGCGGCAACGACGCCAACCACGUCUUCAGCAUCGACGAGGACUUCUAAGCGCGUAAUCUAUUCAUCCCUGCCCCUGGGAUACCGAUGUCGUUGCAUCGCCGUCUUUGCUCUUAAAAGAAGCUAGUUCUAGUAGAGUUGCUCCUCAAUUGCGCUCAUGGUAGCCGACGGAAUCGUUCUCCGAACCUGCGCGAAUCCCUGGGCGCGGCUAUGGCGUUAGACGAAAUGCAUCUCUGGGGUGGGCGCCAACCGGUGAGCGCAGCCAGGGCGUUCGACGAAAUGCCCAUGGGAACAUGCGCCAACCUGUGGGCGCCAUCAAGGCGUUCGACGAAAUGCAUCCGAGGGCAGGGCGGAGGGGUAAGAUUGUCUAUCAGUUGUCACGGGUUAGGGUUCCAGGGGGCAGCGCGGGACUAGCUCCCGGCGGCGGCUCGCUGCACGCCAGAUUUGCCGGCCUGGCGCCAGUAUUUUUUUACACGCGCGAUCUCGUCUGUUAAUCGCGUUUAAA